AUGCUCCACCAGAUCCUCGGUCAGACUAAGAAGCAUCUGAGCUUGAUCCCCUCUUUGUGUUUAUUGGAGCUGAAGGUACUGGAGCAGCACUGUGUGUCUUGUGUCUGGCAUUGUUCAAUCCAGAUGUUAGUUGAGACGGAAAGCAUAACCCAGAACCCUGAAACAAACUGGGUCCCAAUGAUCCAUACGAGUUCUACCCAGUGAAUGUGGAUUACAGCAUACUGAGGAAAGAAGGUCCAGAUUUCUAA
This 248-nucleotide long non-coding RNA is filed under the name Homo sapiens (human). RNAcentral's name for it is "non-protein coding lnc-SFT2D2-3:1". The record is from RNAcentral. Lineage: Eukaryota; Metazoa; Chordata; Mammalia; Primates; Hominidae.